GAGUGGCGGACGGGUGAGUAAUGCUUGGGAACUUGCCUUUGCGAGGGGGAUAACAGUUGGAAACGACUGCUAAUACCGCAUAAUGUCUUCGGACCAAACGGGGCUUCGGCUCCGGCGCAAAGAGAGGCCCAAGUGAGAUUAGCUAGUUGGUAAGGUAACGGCUUACCAAGGCGACGAUCUCUAGCUGUUCUGAGAGGAAGAUCAGCCACACUGGGACUGAGACACGGCCCAGACUCCUACGGGAGGCAGCAGUGGGGAAUAUUGCACAAUGGGGGAAACCCUGAUGCAGCCAUGCCGCGUGUGUGAAGAAGGCCUUCGGGUUGUAAAGCACUUUCAGUUGUGAGGAAAAGUUAGUAGUUAAUACCUGCUAGCCGUGACGUUAACAACAGAAGAAGCACCGGCUAACUCCGUGCCAGCAGCCGCGGUAAUACGGAGGGUGCGAGCGUUAAUCGGAAUUACUGGGCGUAAAGCGCACGCAGGCGGUUUGUUAAGCUAGAUGUGAAAGCCCCGGGCUCAACCUGGGAUGGUCAUUUAGAACUGGCAGACUAGAGUCUUGGAGAGGGGAGUGGAAUUCCAGGUGUAGCGGUGAAAUGCGUAGAUAUCUGGAGGAACAUCAGUGGCGAAGGCGACUCCCUGGCCAAAGACUGACGCUCAUGUGCGAAAGUGUGGGUAGCGAACAGGAUUAGAUACCCUGGUAGUCCACACCGUAAACGCUGUCUACUAGCUGUGUGUGCCUUUAAGGCGUGCGUAGCGAAGCUAACGCGCUAAGUAGACCGCCUGGGGAGUACGGCCGCAAGGUUAAAACUCAAAUGAAUUGACGGGGG
Molecule: ribosomal RNA, 824 nt
Filed under: Alteromonadales bacterium HOT2F7
Lineage: Bacteria; Pseudomonadati; Pseudomonadota; Gammaproteobacteria; Alteromonadales
Description: bacterial SSU rRNA
Rfam family: Bacterial small subunit ribosomal RNA
Source: RNAcentral